GACGAACGCUGGCGGCGCGCCUAACACAUGCAAGUCGAACGAGCGAGAGAGAGCUUGCUUUCUUGAGCGAGUGGCGAACGGGUGAGUAACGCGUGAGGAACCUGCCUCAAAGAGGGGGACAACAGUUGGAAACGACUGCUAAUACCGCAUAAGCCCACGGUGCCGCAUGGCACAGAGGGAAAAGGAGCAAUCCGCUUUGAGAUGGCCUCGCGUCCGAUUAGCUAGUUGGUGAGGUAACGGCCCACCAAGGCGACGAUCGGUAGCCGGACUGAGAGGUUGAACGGACACAUUGGGACUGAGACACGGCCCAGACUCCUACGGGAGGCAGCAGUGGGGAAUAUUGCAAAAUGGGGGAAACACUGAUGCAGCGACGCCGCGUGGAGGAAGAAGGUCUUCGGAUUGUAAACUCCUGUUGUUGGGGAAGAUAAUGACGGUACCCAACAAGGAAGUGACGGCUAACUACGUG
This 466-nucleotide ribosomal RNA is filed under the name uncultured bacterium. Its description in RNAcentral is "partial 16S ribosomal RNA". It matches the Rfam family "Bacterial small subunit ribosomal RNA", at positions 28 to 507 of the family's 1533-position model. The record is from RNAcentral.